GAGUUUGAUCCUGGCUCAGAACGAACGCUGGCGGCGUGCCUAACACAUGCAAGUCGAACGUGAUUGGGGAGCUUGCUCCUCAUGAAAGUGGCGCACGGGUGAGUAACGCGUAGAUAAUCUACCUGAUGAUCCGGGAUAACACUUCGAAAGGGGUGCUAAUACCUGAUAAGCCCACGGAGUCCUUGGACUCUGCGGGAAAGGGGGGGAUCGCAAGACCUUCCGUCAUCAGAUGAGUCUGCGUACCAUUAGCUAGUUGGUAGGGUAAAGGCCUACCAAGGCGACGAUGGUUAGCUGGUCUGAGAGGAUGAUCAGCCACACUGGAACUGAGACACGGUCCAGACUCCUACGGGAGGCAGCAGUGGGGAAUUUUGCGCAAUGGGGGAAACCCUGACGCAGCAACGCCGCGUGAGUGAUGAAGGCCCUUGGGUCGUAAAGCUCUGACAGAGGGAAAGAAGUGCAGGGGAGCUAAUACCUCCUUUGCUUGACGGUACCCUCAAAGGAAGCACCGGCUAACUCCGUGCCAGCAGCCGCGGUAAUAC
RNAcentral lists this ribosomal RNA (539 nucleotides) under uncultured Geobacteraceae bacterium. RNAcentral's name for it is "bacterial SSU rRNA". It matches the Rfam family "Bacterial small subunit ribosomal RNA", at positions 9 to 526 of the family's 1533-position model. Lineage: Bacteria; Pseudomonadati; Thermodesulfobacteriota; Desulfuromonadia; Geobacterales; Geobacteraceae. The record is from RNAcentral.